RNAcentral lists this ribosomal RNA (1093 nucleotides) under Triticum aestivum (bread wheat). Its description in RNAcentral is "partial small subunit ribosomal RNA". The record is from RNAcentral. Lineage: Eukaryota; Viridiplantae; Streptophyta; Magnoliopsida; Poales; Poaceae.
AGAAGCGACGCCUCUCCUCCCAGGCCUCCCGGACGACAUCUCCGUCUGGGAGAUCCUCGUCCGCCUGCCGCCCAAAUGCGUCCUCCGCUGCCGCGCCGUCUGCCCCGCGUGGCGCCGCGCCACCUCCGCCCGCGGCUUCCUCCUCGCCCACCACGCCCGCCAGCCCGCCAUCCCCCUCCUCUACGGCUACAACUACGCGUCCCUGGACCUCCUCCCCUUGGACUACCGGGCAGGGGUCGUCGCCGUCGACCAGCUCCGGUCCGUCGCUCGACUUGCACACGACUCCUACAGCCUUGAUGACUGCUUCAUGCUCGAGGCAUGCUGCGACGGCCUCCUCGCCCUUACUGCCCACUACCCGCCCAAGCUCUCCAUCUGCAACCCGGCAACUCGUCAGUACGCUCCCCUUCCGCAGCUUGAUGGCUUCAAGAUCCUGGGGAUGUACCCUCACCUCCCUACCGGCGAGUACCGACUACUGCUAUACCCGAUCCCCGUUGAAGCUCAAGGUGGCUUCUACAUCUCCACAUUGGGCUCAGGCCAGCCGCCGAGGCACAUAGGGUUUCCUGAGGCCAAGGAACUGAGGCGCUCCUCCGUGUCUGUCCUGUUCCGUGGUAGCCUGCAUUGGUGCAUACGCAAUCUGAUGAUGGCAUUUGACACCACCGCUGAGUCGUUCCGGCAGGUGCGCUCUCCGGCUGGUCCUGGCUACUCUAACCUGAUUGAGAUGGGUGACAUGCUUGGCAUCUCCAGUCUUAGUGACAAAGCAGCAAGCGUUAAUAUCUGGGUGAUGCAGGACUACGAAGCCGAGGUUUGGGCCUUCAAAUACCGGGUUGAGUUGCCGGUCGCAGAGAUCAGGGUGCAAUUUGGAAAGUCUGACAAUUAUUGGAAUGUGGUCGCCGUGCCUUGGGAUGGCGAUGUGCUCUUACUCGUCAAAUUUGAUGACUGUCUGCUUCAGGUUGACAUUCAUGGCAAGCUGGUUUCCAGUUUCCGUCGCAGAGACCUUGGUCCUACAAAUCUUCAGAUCAAGCAAACUCUUGUUCAACAUGCCUUCUUUCCGACACUAGAGGGCUAUGUUGUGAACUCUUCGCCUUUGGUCUGA